GGGAAUAUUGGACAAUGGGCGCAAGCCUGAUCCAGCAAUGCCGCGUGAGUGAUGAAGGCCUUAGGGUUGUAAAGCUCUUUUACCAGGGAUGAUAAUGACAGUACCUGGAGAAUAAGCUCCGGCUAACUCCGUGCCAGCAGCCGCGGUAAUACGGAGGGAGCUAGCGUUGUUCGGAAUUACUGGGCGUAAAGCGCACGUAGGCGGUUAUUCAAGUCAGAGGUGAAAGCCCGGGGCUCAACCCCGGAACUGCCUUUGAAACUAGAUGACUGGAAUCUUGGAGAGGUCAGUGGAAUUCCGAGUGUAGAGGUGAAAUUCGUAGAUAUUCGGAAGAACACCAGUGGCGAAGGCGACUGACUGGACAAGUAUUGACGCUGAGGUGCGAAAGCGUGGGGAGCAAAC
Molecule: ribosomal RNA, 399 nt
Filed under: uncultured bacterium
Lineage: Bacteria
Description: bacterial SSU rRNA
Rfam family: Bacterial small subunit ribosomal RNA
Source: RNAcentral